UCUUUCGGGCCAAUGGGGCGGCAAAGCCCUGACCCGAGCGACCGCCCGCGUGUGCGAUGAAGGGCCCUUCGGGGUUGUAAACGCCACUGUCGAGGGGGAUAAAAGCGCGCAAGCUUGAUAGAUCCCCUGGGAGGAAAGCACGGGCUAAGUUCGUGCCCAGCAGCCCGCGGUAAGACGAACCGUGCGAACGUUGUUCGGAAUCACUGGGCUUAAAGGGUGCGUAGGCGGGGUGGCAAGUCUGUGGUGAAAUCCUCCGGCUCAACCGGAGAACUGCCGUGGAUACUGCUACUCUCGAGGGGUGUAGGGGCAUGUGGAACUCAGGGUGGAGCGGUGAAAUGCGUAGAUAUCCUGAGGAACGCCGGUGGCGAAAGCGACGUGCUGGACACCUUCUGACGCGAGGCACGAA
RNAcentral lists this ribosomal RNA (406 nucleotides) under uncultured bacterium. RNAcentral describes it as "bacterial SSU rRNA". It matches the Rfam family "Bacterial small subunit ribosomal RNA", at positions 359 to 757 of the family's 1533-position model. The record is from RNAcentral.